RNAcentral lists this long non-coding RNA (3389 nucleotides) under Sorghum bicolor (sorghum). Its description in RNAcentral is "long non-coding RNA (SBIC_LNC016542)". The record is from RNAcentral. Lineage: Eukaryota; Viridiplantae; Streptophyta; Magnoliopsida; Poales; Poaceae.
AUAUGUGCUGCUGUAAUUGUUCUCACAGCAAGUAAAGAUAUAUGGACUGCAAAUGUAAAUAUAGAUCGAGGAUAUAUAUGUUUUAUGUAUAGACUACAAAGUAGUUUAGAGAAAUAUAUAAAUUUACAUGUACAUACAUAUAGCGGUGUCAAAGGUUCCAGACAUGUAGCAGUUCAAAAGGUAAUGAGAAUUUCUCAUGCCAAUGCAUCAAAGUUGCUGUCCCUCCCUAAAAAAAGUUGUAGUCCCAAGUACAGUGCGACCAGUUUACAACUAAUCCUGUCACGCCACCAUUAUCUUAAUUGCAAGACAAUAGGCAGUAAGCUGCAUACGUAAGUUGGCUGUGGCUGGUAUGAUUCACUAACUCUGCUGACCAGUCACCUUUCAUUUAGGAUGUUUACUCCACCACUGGUAAACCCUCCACUAUCAUCUCUGUUUUCAAAAGACUGGCUCUAAAGAACAAAAGAAAUGAUAGAUGAACAAAUUAGUUUCAAUGCAGUAUAGAAAGUUUGAAGUGUAGCUACAAAAUAUAUCGCUUACAUGUAUUGGCAACAUCUUGGUUAGCAGAGGACCUGGUAGCACUCAUUUUUUCAAUCUGCGUAGCAGGGGCACAUCAAUUAAUAAGUUGAACUACCAAAAACAAAGUAAAAAAUAGAAGAAAAUGAGACAUUCAUUUACAGAGCCUCAUAGUUUCUGCGUAGCAUUCCAAGCUGUAUCACAUAAUAAGGCACAUUCCACACUAUAGUAUCACAUAAGGAAUGUUGUUAUACACUGAAAAUGAUCAUAGUAUCAAUAGGAAAAAUGCUUUGUAAAUUAUCCUUAAUGCUAUAUAAUUUAAUAAGGCACAUUUCAUAUCACAGUAUCACAUUAUGGAGCAUAAAUGGCAGGAGGCUAACUUACAUCAGUGAUUGCACGAGCUAGCUUUGCAUAUUGAAUGUAAGCUAGCAUAGCUAAAGAAGCACACAUCUAAUAACAUUGGCAUAAAUAAGAAAAAUCUUUGCAAUAAAAUAGUACAAUGAGUGUUCCAACAUAGUACAGAUAUGACAUUGGCGAAUAGCAAAAUGUUUCUAGCAAAAUGCUAGAAUCUGUGGUCCAGCAUAGUUUAGAACUUUAAAAGUUACUUGCUCUUCUUUUUAGUAAAAUGCAGGUACUACCAAUGGAUUCAUCAUAUCUCACAUAAAAGGUAAGUGUGGAUAUAGCCAACUUUACCUCUAUACAUGGGCAUGUUCAAAUUGGUUCAAAUUGAUAAGUUGUAAACUUAUGUUUUCAUGUUUCCAUAAAAUAAACAAAUAAAUGAUUUGAAGCCUAUCAUCAUUCUAUGAGUGGAUAAUGGUUCAGGAAACAACGCAAAUUAAUGGAAAGAUCAUUACCUGCAGGAGUACAGGGUAGGAGCAAAAAAAUGAUUUUAGCAUUAGCCGUCACACAUGCACUCCUGCAACAGAUAUAGACUGAUCUGGUUAAAUUAGAUCUGCUAGCAUCACAUGAAAAGCAAUUGAAAGAAGCAUAUCAUUUCUUAAUCCCAAAGUAAUGGCAGCUAAGAUCAUAAACCUCAGGUUCAUCCAUCUGAACUGAAACUGAGAGCAGGAAUAGACAUCAGAGCAAAAAAAAGUACAUAAGAACAUGGCCCUUCACACCUAAAUGCCUGAAUUCUUAGGCACAUACAUUAGAUCAUCCAUGAAGUAAAAUUAGAACCAACAUGUAAAUGUGAUUAAUGGAGAGAAGCACACACCUUUCGCUUGAGGAUUAUCACUCUGCUAAUGGGAAAUCCUGUACGACCAUUCUAUUUUCAAAGGAUGGAAAUGGAACCCGAUUCUACUUUAGCGCCAAGCUACAAAAAGGUAGUGAUAGAGAUCAAUCAAGAAGGGUGUGUGGCAAGUCAAGUUGAAGACAUUCAGUCAUGAUAGUCUGAUAACAAGGCGAUGAAAAUCAUUCUAGACUAAAUAAGAAUUAGGCACCUUCAAUAACACAUGAGACAACCAAGGUAAUAAGCAUUAUGUAUAAACCUUUCACAUGGAUUAACAUGGUAGCUGCAAUCCUAUACUCGGUGAUGGGACCUAAACAAAGUCCUAACUAACCUAUUUUCUAGAGAUAUCCUAGGAAGAUCAUGCUGGACAACACACUCCAAGAACCCAUAUGUCUUGAGAAAUCUCUGAACAGAAGCUCAUGUAUUAUCUGAAAAGCGGGUGGAAUUCACAAGAGUCUAAUUAGCAUAAUGCAAGUGACAAAAACUACACCCGCUAAUAUUUGUAUACACACCUCUGCAUAAUUCCAAAUAUUGUUCAUCUAAUUAUUCGCAUACCUAAUACGAAAUUAAAAAAUCAGCAAUAUAACCAAGACAUCUUUUAGCACUCAAAGACAGUAGAUAAAAUAUAUGAGAAAGUUGCAUAGUGGAUGAAGAACGACAUGUAUGACUUACCUACUACCUUCUUCCAACGGCAGUGGUGAUGGGCGUGUUAAUAAGCAACUGAUCCUUAUGACCUUUUUUUUUGUAGAACUCUAUUGACCUCACAAAGUUAGUACAAAAUAUAGGAUAACAGAAACAUAAUUAUAUUAUUACUACUAUUUUGCAUUUUACAUAACACAAGCAAAGCACGUAUGUGAUAAAGUACCUAAUCCUACAACUUUACAUAACAAACAGAGCAUGUAGCUAACACUACAAAAGCGAUCCUUGCAGACUCCCUAGUGUCUCAUAAGUAAAUACAAAUACGGAUUAGAAGUUCUCUUCUAACACUACACAAGCAGUCCUUGCAGACUCCCUAGUGUCUCAUAAGUAAAUAUAAAUGGUUAACCUUCCAAUCACAAAAUGGAAACCUUUUUUUGCAAUAGGCCGUUUCCUUCUUCCACCUCCCUUAUCUUAGGUUGCCUCACUUGGAUUCAUGGACGGAAAUGGAGCAAGACCUGACCAAGAUCUCAUCUAGAUCUAAUUCGUGACUGAAAAAAAAUAUCCUCUCAACCAUGGAUUUGCAGCUGAACUGGAGGGGGAGCAAAAGAGAGAGAGAGCACCUUAAUCUGGCCGGGCUGCAGGAGGCCAGCGUCCAGCUCGCCCAUGGCCAGGGACGCCACGUUGAGAGAGGGAGAAGGGGAAAACCUGCUGCAGCACGCACUGGUGGCGCCACCGUGUCGGCCGCCGCCGCGCUUUGCCCUCUCGCUGCGGCAGGAUGCCCAAGUUUAGGGUUUGGCUCAUCCGGCAUGAUAGCUAGGGUUUCACCCACAGGAGGAGCGCUGGCGUCACGGCCGGAGGCCGCAACGACGAGGCAGCACGGAGGAUGGAGGAGAGGGAGGGGGUUGUCGGGCCUCACCUGCGCCGUCGCCCUACCUGCAGGUCGCGCCGUCGCCUGGUGCGCCGCCGCCGUCACUUGAGGGAAAGGGAGAGAUAGAGAACACCGGACUUC